Molecule: small nuclear RNA, 103 nt
Filed under: Ochotona princeps (American pika)
Lineage: Eukaryota; Metazoa; Chordata; Mammalia; Lagomorpha; Ochotonidae
Source: RNAcentral
GUGCUCACUGUGGCAGCACAUAUAGUAAAGUUGGAAUGAAUCAGAGAACAUUAGCAUGGUCCCUGCACAAGGCAGCCUGCUCUGGGAGGGGUGGAGCCUAUAG